This 73-nucleotide small RNA is filed under the name Xanthomonas vesicatoria. RNAcentral describes it as "sX9". It matches the Rfam family "Xanthomonas sRNA sX9". The record is from RNAcentral. Lineage: Bacteria; Pseudomonadati; Pseudomonadota; Gammaproteobacteria; Lysobacterales; Lysobacteraceae.
AUGUACCACUCGUACACUCCGGUUCCUUCGCGCGUCCACCCAUCUCACGGCUGCUCGCUGCGUUUUGUUAGCC